This 380-nucleotide unclassified non-coding RNA is filed under the name uncultured Ascomycota. Its description in RNAcentral is "sequence contains ITS2". The stretch from base 1 to 154 matches the Rfam family "5.8S ribosomal RNA". Lineage: Eukaryota; Fungi; Ascomycota. The record is from RNAcentral.
AACUUUCGGCAAUGGAUCACUUGGUUCUGGCAUCGAUGAAGAACGCAGCGAAAUGCGAUAAGUAAUGUAAAUUGCAGAAUUCAGUGAAUCAUCGAAUCUUUGAACGCACAUUGCGCCCUUUGGCAUUCCGAAGGGCAUGCCCGUUCGAGCGUCAUUAAAUCCAAUCAAGCCCGGCUUGGUAUUGGGCAUCGGGGCCUCCCGUGCCUCAAUUUCACCGGCUGGCCGUCGCCCGUCUUAGCGUUGUGACACACUUCUCGCUAGCGACAGGAGGCGGACCACGCCGUUAACACCCCCCAAAUUUCUACGGAAAUUUGAUUAAGGUUGACCUCGGAUCGGGUAGGAAUACCCGCUGAACUUAAGCAUAUCAAUAAGCGGAGGCU